Molecule: unclassified non-coding RNA, 1575 nt
Filed under: Hevea brasiliensis (rubber tree)
Lineage: Eukaryota; Viridiplantae; Streptophyta; Magnoliopsida; Malpighiales; Euphorbiaceae
Source: RNAcentral
GGGGUGUGGUGGUCAUUGCUGUUAUAGUUUAAGAAUGGACUGAGUGUUGGUCUGUCCUAUCUAUCUUUUAGGUUAGAUUUUCAUAGGCUGAAAAUAUGAAUAAACUGACAUGGGCAUUAUUGGUUUGAGGUAGGAGCCUUUUCCUUCAACAAUAAAUUUAUAUUGAAAAUGACAUGCAUUGGUAUUGCACUAUAGUAUAUACAAAAUCUCAAGAAUAGGCUAUCAACAAAAGUGACAAUAUCAAAGUAAUCUUGCAAGAAAUUUCCAAUCAUCCAAAAGUGAAGUGUAUGCAGUCAAUUUCUGCAUGGUUUUACCAUGGUGCUUCUAUAUUUUCAGAAGCAUAGAAGUCUCCAGGUUCUGGCUUUCAAAUUAUCCAUAAAGCAGUCAAAGGAAUAGCAUCCAUACAUCAUUUCGCUGUGUUCUCCAAAAAGAACCCUCUCUGAGCAUUAUGCUCUGUCUCUAUGCGCUUCAUUUAUUACCUGAUUUAACUCUAGAAUUUAUCGAACCGACUUUUUUCUUCUUUUUUUUCUUUUGAUGUUGUGUAUUUCUCUUCUUGAAUCCAAUCAAAUAUUCAAGUGUAUAGAAACUAAUUUGGUUGUAUAUUGUUGGAGCUUUCCUUUUCUUGUGGUUUUUGACAUGGAAAUGGUCCUUAGUCUGAUUUUUCAAUUUUAUUUAACAUAAUCAUGCUGAUAUUGAUCCAUGGUGAUAUCAGAGGAUUUCUGAAACACUUGAUGUUGAGAUCAAGCGUUGGGCUGCAGGGAAAGAGGGGAAUCUACGUGCUCUGCUAUCGACAAUGCAAUAUGUGCUGUGGCCUGAAUGCGGUUGGCAGCCUGUUUCGUUGACUGAUUUGAUUACUGCAGCUGCUGUUAAGAAAGCUUAUAGGAAGGCAACUUUAUGCAUCCAUCCUGAUAAAGUACAACAAAAAGGUGCCAAUCUUGAACAAAAAUAUAUCGCAGAGAAGGUGUUUGACUUGCUGAAGGAAGCAUGGAACAAGUUCAAUUCUGAGGAGCUAUUUUAAUUCCUGUGGUGAUAUUUUGCUCCAAACUACUUGAUUAGGCAAUCACACUAUUUAGUGGGGGUGGAAAUGCGCAAUUGUUCCAGUAGAUGUAUUCUUGUAUCUGCUGUAAUUGGUGUUGCAUCAUAUCACUGAUAAAAACGCCAACAGGGGACUUAUCAUUUGUAGCUAUUGAGAUACCGGAAGGUUGAAGUAGUCUCGCAUAAUUCAGGUGGCUGUAAAGGUACUUUCCUCCAGCACAGGGCGCCUGAAGGCUGGAAUUACUUCUCCAUGUAGAGUAUCGUUCUGCAUACCCCUAUGGCAUAUUAGAUGGGGGGUGGGAAGGUUUUUUUCCUUUUUUUUUUUGUUAAUUCUUUUCUAUAGUUAUAUAUAUUUUUUUCCCUUGUGGGUUUUCUUUUGGUGGUAGAGCAUGAUAUUUUGAGUGGAUACAAAUAUGUUUAUUGAUGUCAAAAUGACCUUACUUCGCUUUGUAUGAUUGUUGGGCUGUUGACUCUGAGCUGUACGUUUAAUGGAUAAAUAUAUUUUUUGUCAGUUGAUGUCUUGUUAGUUGUUGCCAGCAG